GCGCGUCGGGAACUCGACGGCGACAAGGAAGAGGAGGAGCUCGUUCGCGAGGGAUCCGGCGUUCCAGAGCCCACGAAAAUGUUCGGUUUAUCACGAGAAGGAGCCUUUCCCACGGGGAAAGCCCUUUCCAUCCUGGACCUCAG
RNAcentral lists this unclassified non-coding RNA (143 nucleotides) under cf. Ephydatia fluviatilis UGSB23548. RNAcentral describes it as "sequence contains ITS2, 28S rRNA gene". Lineage: Eukaryota; Metazoa; Porifera; Demospongiae; Spongillida; Spongillidae. RNAcentral also lists the same sequence under 2 other names. The record is from RNAcentral.